RNAcentral lists this small nuclear RNA (24 nucleotides) under Arabidopsis thaliana (thale cress). RNAcentral describes it as "snRNA_18640". The record is from RNAcentral. Lineage: Eukaryota; Viridiplantae; Streptophyta; Magnoliopsida; Brassicales; Brassicaceae.
UCAAUAAAAUUGGCUAUUGGGCUA